Molecule: long non-coding RNA, 679 nt
Filed under: Lepidothrix coronata (blue-crowned manakin)
Lineage: Eukaryota; Metazoa; Chordata; Aves; Passeriformes; Pipridae
Description: lncRNA (ENSLCOG00000001921.1)
Source: RNAcentral
CUUGGACGUGGCGCUUGGUCUAGGUGACACAGUGGUGGCCAGAGGUCUUUUCUAGCCCCAGUGGAUCCUGUGAUUCCGUGAAAAUGCAGUAGCAGGAGGCGAACGGGGAGGGAGCGCGCCCAUGUCGCUGCCCCGGGUGCGGCACGGGAGGCUCGAAAGGGUAGAUUUUUGUCUGUGACAAGCUUCAAUAUAUCUGUUUUUCGUGCCGCCUGAGACACACUAAAAGCCAAAGGCUGCUGUCUCCACUUUAAUAUAUAUUCUGGGUUGUUGGAAGAAUUGAACUGGGACACAUGGACAGCAGCAUGUGAGAGCUUCAAAAAGGAUGUUAUGUGUCACUUGAACUUGGAGAAGUGCUGAAUUUGAGGCAGAUCCAUGGAAGGAUGUACUGUGCCCCCUUUGCCUGGUCACUUCUUGGCAGUGUGGAAAACAAUGAGUUCUGACUGAAAUGUUUGUAUGGCCCAGAUCUAUUUGUUAGAAAACACUGUGGAAAAGCUAGAGGCACCAAAAGGGAGCCUUCAAUACAGAAACUAACUGCAAGCCUCUGGAAACACUGAAGCUCAAAACAAUGAAAAUCUCUGCAGUUAUGGCAAAGCAGAGUAUCAAAGGACAGCAAAGUCACCCUGACAGGUCAGUAGUUUAAAGUAGCUAUAAAUAAAACCUGAAUUCUCCAGUUGUGCCA